CCUACGGGGGGCAGCAGUGAGGAAUAUUGGUCAAUGGACGCAACUCUGAACCAGCCAAGUAGCGUGCAGGAUGACGGCCCUACGGGUUGUAAACUGCUUUUAUGCAGGGAUAAACUGAGUCACGUGUGCCUUUUUGCAGGUACUUUAUGAAUAAGGACCGGCUAAUUCCGUGCCAGCAGCCGCGGUAAUACGGAGGAUCCGGGCGUUAUCCGGAUUUAUUGGGUUUAAAGGGAGCGCAGAUGGGCUGUUAAGUCUGUUGUGAAAGUUUGCGGCUCAACCGUAAAAUUGCAAUUGAUACUGGGAGUCUUGAGUACAGUUGAGGUAGGCGGAAUUCGUGGUGUAGCGGUGAAAUGCUUAGAUAUCACGAAGAACUCCGAUUGCGAAGGCAGCUUACUAAACUGCCACUGACAUUGAGGCUCGAAGGUGUGGGUAUCAAACAGGAUUAGAUACCCUUGUAGUC
This 460-nucleotide ribosomal RNA is filed under the name uncultured bacterium. RNAcentral describes it as "partial 16S ribosomal RNA". It matches the Rfam family "Bacterial small subunit ribosomal RNA", at positions 338 to 795 of the family's 1533-position model. The record is from RNAcentral.